UUUAGCUACUUGCCCACAGGAGGGCGCCCUCUACCUGUUAAAAGCAUUGAAACUCUUUGCAUUGAAACUGAACAUGAAAUACCUAUCAAGAAUCUCAUGCAACUAGACCUCAGUUCUUAUAGAAGAGAGAAAAAUCAAAACGACUGGUUCUGAAAGAACGCAAGGUCUAAAUGGGUCAAAGCAAUGGAGCUCCCCAGAUAAUUGUGGUGGUUUGUAAGAUUUGCUUAGAGUGCAGAGUCCUUGAAACAAGGGUAUUUCAAAACAACCUCUUCACUUUCACAAUGCACUUUUGGGACAACUAUGCCAAGGCAAAGAUAAUUUCAUUCGGGGCUAAAGAGUGUUUUCUAACCCAGGAACCUUGAAAAUAUCUGUUCAUAGCUCCAGCACUAACAGCUCCACAAGACACACCACGCCUAAGACCUUGAGAUUCCUGAAGAUAGACGAGAUCCUAUGGCCUUCUCAGGCAGUAAUUUCUGCCCAUUCAUCCAACCUUGAUUAGUAUGACCGGACUUAUUGUCAGUUUCUGGCUUAGAAUCUUUUUCCUAGGCUAUCCACUUUCAAGUCCUAGCUGUUUAGAAUUUAUAUUGGUAGAAAACACCAAGUUAGAGUUAAACCUAAAAUAGCCACCAUGCAGAUGCUAUUUCCUAUUGGCAAAAAUAAAAGAAACAUGCUAAAACUCUUAAA
This is a non-coding RNA of Odocoileus virginianus texanus, 684 nucleotides long. The record is from RefSeq and is a predicted model, not a curated record. Lineage: Eukaryota; Metazoa; Chordata; Mammalia; Artiodactyla; Cervidae.